Molecule: ribosomal RNA, 529 nt
Filed under: Phenylobacterium sp.
Lineage: Bacteria; Pseudomonadati; Pseudomonadota; Alphaproteobacteria; Caulobacterales; Caulobacteraceae
Description: bacterial SSU rRNA
Rfam family: Bacterial small subunit ribosomal RNA
Source: RNAcentral
CUAAUACCGAAUGUGCCCUUCGGGGGAAAGAUUUAUCGCCAUUGGAGCGGCCCGCGUUGGAUUAGGUAGUUGGUGGGGUAAAGGCCCACCAAGCCUACGAUCCAUAGCUGGUCUGAGAGGAUGAUCAGCCACACUGGGACUGAGACACGGCCCAGACUCCUACGGGAGGCAGCAGUAGGGAAUCUUGCGCAAUGGGCGAAAGCCUGACGCAGCCAUGCCGCGUGAAUGAUGAAGGUCUUAGGAUUGUAAAAUUCUUUCACCGGGGAAGAUAAUGACGGUACCCGGAGAAGAAGCCCCGGCUAACUUCGUGCCAGCAGCCGCGGUAAUACGAAGGGGGCUAGCGUUGCUCGGAAUUACUGGGCGUAAAGGGCGCGUAGGCGGAUACUUAAGUUAGAGGUGAAAGCCCAGGGCUCAACCCUGGAACAGCCUUUAAUACUGGGUAUCUUGAGUUCGGGAGAGGUGAGUGGAACUCCGAGUGUAGAGGUGAAAUUCGUAGAUAUUCGGAAGAACACCAGUGGCGAAGGCGACU